Molecule: transfer RNA, 71 nt
Filed under: bacterium
Lineage: Bacteria
Also listed under: 2 other names
Description: tRNA-Ala
Rfam family: tRNA
About the family: Transfer RNA (tRNA) molecules are approximately 80 nucleotides in length. Their secondary structure includes four short double-helical elements and three loops (D, anti-codon, and T loops).
Source: RNAcentral
GGGCCGAUAGUAUAGUGGUAGUACAGUACAUUCGCAUUGUACAGACGGGGGUUCGAUUCCCCCCCGGUCCA